AAAUUGAUUACAGGAAUGCAAAGAAAAAAACUUUUACAAUUACAUCUUCCAUCAAAAAAAAAACAAAAAAAAACAACCUUUUCAAAUGAAAACGUACAGUAUGCUACUUGCUGAACUCUGGGAUUGUUUCAGUGUUGCAUUGUAUUAUGCUUAUGAAUUACAUAAUUACAUUAUUGUUCUUGUUAUGCCUACAUUUCUUUUAAUUUUAGUUUGUGUAAAAGCAACAGGAUUCUGUCACUGUCUUGCACACUGACAAUGGACUUGGAUAUUUUCUCAGGAUAAUUAGGGGUCCAGAGUUCCAGUUCCACUGUUAUUAUCAUGAGAAUUCAACAAAUCGAUCAAUGAAAGAGAUUAAAAAAAUAAAAUAAAAAAAAUUGUUGUUGAUGGAAAUCCAGCUCUAAGCACUGAAGGUUAUGGAUUUAAAAAUGUCUUUUUGAAUUUUAAUCCGUAGCAGACACACAUUUACCAAAUAAUAGAUUUGUAGUGAACCUAUGUAUUAUAUUUCUUGAAGUGGAGUACUUUCCAUUUGAAAUAUGUUUGUAUCUGUCGCUUUAUGUACAAAUACAGUUUUGUUUAGGUUGUGGAAGGACCUACCACUGUUUGAUUUUACCUUGCCUGAUGGUUCUUAACGAGGUCCAGUAAAAGAUGCUUGAUAUUCCAUCCUCUUGUCUUUACUUGUUUUAAAAAUUCAGUAGAGGCCUGUAUGCAGUCUGUGAAUUGUAGAUCAACAUACAACUUGAACUCUUACUAGAUUGUCUUACAAGGUUUUGAGUGUGGGAUGAAAGUUAAUUCUCCAUUUAGGUUUAGCACUAGAUGCAGAAAUAAGAUGUUAUGAAAGGAUUAAGAAUCUAUGCACAAGUUUGAGUGGACAGUAUGUCCGGAUACGCUAUUCUUGCAAGGAUCUUUUUGGUGGGUUUCUUUGUACGAGUUUUUAUUUGAAUCAGCAGAUAUUAAAGUGUCAGCACCAUGCUCUGUGUCUCUCAACCAAGGAGUAUCAUCAACCAAGCACUGUGCGUUUAUGCAAAUCUCUGACAUUCUGGUGUUUAAAUGGGAUGAUUGGUUUUGAAAGGGAAUUUAACUGUUUCUCUUUAUUGUUCAGCUAUUAAGAACAUGACUGUACUGAGAUCUAACAAUGUUGCUGACUUUUAAAUGUUUUUUUUUCUUCUUCUUUUUUCUCUUUCCCUUAAAAUGGAUAGUUGACACACAAAUGAAAAUCCUGUCGCCAUUUACUCACCCUCAAGUAGUUCCAAAUCUGUAUGAGUUUCUUCUGGUGAACACAAAAGAACAGUUGCUGUUGCUGGUAGCCAUUGACUUCUUUUGUUCCAUUUUUUAUUCUUCUUCUCUCACUAUACUGUGGAGGUCAGUGGCUACCAACAACUGUUUGGUUACCUGCAUUCUUCAAAAUAUCUUCUUCUGCAUUCAACAGAAGAAAGAAAUUCACACAGGUUUGGAACAACAAAAUUUUCAUUUUUGGGUGAAAUAUCCUUUUAAUAGAAUGUGAUCAUUUGAGGCCUUUCCAUGUGGUAUGGAGAUUAUUUCAGCCUAUAUUAAUAAACAGCAUUUUCCUCUUGA
Molecule: long non-coding RNA, 1572 nt
Organism: Cyprinus carpio (common carp)
Lineage: Eukaryota; Metazoa; Chordata; Actinopteri; Cypriniformes; Cyprinidae
Exons: 2
Source: RefSeq, a predicted model, not a curated record